This 776-nucleotide ribosomal RNA is filed under the name uncultured bacterium. RNAcentral describes it as "bacterial SSU rRNA". It matches the Rfam family "Bacterial small subunit ribosomal RNA", at positions 8 to 794 of the family's 1533-position model. The record is from RNAcentral.
AGAGUUUGAUCAUGGCUCAGGACGAACGCUGGCGGCGCGCCUAACACAUGCAAGUCGAACGGACGAGAGUUGGUGCUUGCACCGACUCGAGUUAGUGGCGGACGGGUGAGUAACGCGUGAGUAACCUGCCUUUUAGAGGGGGAUAACGUCUGGAAACGGACGCUAAUACCGCAUAAUAUAUUUAUACUGCAUGGUGUAGAUAUCAAAGGAGCAAUCCGCUAAGAGAUGGACUCGCGUCCAAUUAGCUAGUUGGUGAGGUAACGGCUCACCAAGGCGACGAUUGGUAGCCGGACUGAGAGGUUGAACGGCCACAUUGGGACUGAGACACGGCCCAGACUCCUACGGGAGGCAGCAGUGGGGACUAUUGCACAAUGGGGGAAACCCUGAUGCAGCGAUGCCGCGUGAGGGAAGAAGGUUUUCGGAUUGUAAACCUCUGUCCUUGGUGAAGAAGAUGACUGUAGCCGAGGAGGAAGCCACGGCUAACUACGUGCCAGCAGCCGCGGUAAUACGUAGGUGGCAAGCGUUGUCCGGAAUUACUGGGUGUAAAGGGAGCGUAGGCGGGAAUGCAAGUUGAAUGUUAAAACUACAGGCUCAACCUGUAGUCGCGUUCAAAACUGUAUUUCUUGAGUGAAGUAGAGGUAGGCGGAAUUCCUAGUGUAGCGGUGAAAUGCGUAAAUAUUAGGAGGAACACCAGUGGCGAAGGCGGCCUACUGGGCUUUAACUGACGCUGAGGCUCGAAAGCGUGGGUAGCAAACAGGAUUAGAUACCCUGGUAGU